This is a long non-coding RNA of Talpa occidentalis (Iberian mole), 465 nucleotides long. RefSeq lists it as uncharacterized. The transcript has 3 exons. NCBI's taxonomy places the organism in Eukaryota, Metazoa, Chordata, Mammalia, Eulipotyphla, Talpidae. The record is from RefSeq and is a predicted model, not a curated record.
AAUAGAUGUGAGAACAGCUUAGGCAUGAGGGGCCCACUGGUAUUCCAUAAAGACGGCACUUGAGCCACUGGAGCCUUCUUUCAGGCUACAGAUUUCAUUGAAGACCUACUAUGUGCCAAGAGAUGUUCUAUGAGCUGGGACAUGCAAAAUACAGGGGGUCGUUUCACGUCAUGUUGCCCGGCGCCUCCCCCCACCCUCCACCUCCCGGACUCUGUGAGUUCUUGAACAUGAGAGGCGUGAAUUGGGCAUGGACUACAGGCCCCUCGCCUCGGAGGAAGUUAACGGGUUCAGCAUUCUGGGUGAGAAAAAGAGAAACCGCUCACAACCUGUGGUCACCCACGAGCCCUGGAGCGACGCACGUCUGCGAAGCCACCCACAUCUGAGAGCCAGCUCGCUCCUGGGAGGACGGCCCGGAACAGCAGCAAAACGGAUCCGCCAGCCCCGACUGGUUCUCCCUGUUGCUUU